AGAGAAUUUCCCAUUCCUGAGCAGUUCAAGACGAUAUGGGACGGAUCCAAGCUCAUCACCGAACCUGCAGAAAUCAUGGCCUGACCUCCAAGAGAUAUCCUUCCCCGAGUCCCUCCAGCUGGCAGAAGCAAACAGCUAAUAGGAGCUAGAUUUCACCAUAGCCCCGGCGUCCAUGUCAGCGUCCUGCAGUUCUGUGCCGUGGAAAACAGUUUCUUUUCUGGCAGGCUUUUAUGGGCGUUUUGAAAUAUUUACCAUUUGAUCGUGCUUUGUGUGUGAUUUUUACUUCCACAUGAUAACUAGUGAACACAGCAGAGAGAGAGAGAAAAGGAUUCUGUUCCCAUCGGAUCACACACCGUGACACCCAUUUUGUCCUUUUGGUUUAAUUGCUAGUUGGAAAAAAAAAAUGAAGCCUUAGAGAGUCUAUGUCUGUUUUUACCUUUCAGACAACUUUAGCAUGAUGAAAUAGUCUUGUGCCCUGAAGAAUAAGACUAUUUUUUAAUUUUCACGUGUUCACCUUCAUCACCGAGGACAUCCUGUCAGUGUGAAUGUACACUUCAAUCCAUGUUUUUACACACACGUCUACACAAAGAGGAAACAGAAUUCUAAGUUUAUAGUUACUGAAAAAUGAAGGAAAUCUUAACUCCUCAUCUUAAACAUCCUUCCGCUGAGUCACUUUGAAAAUUCUUACUUGUCUGCCUUUCCCUAAGACAAAGGGUGGUGGCAGAGAGGGGUAGGGUAGGGUGGAGACUCAGUCCUCAUUUUUUGCUCUGUAACACCUUAUGGUUCUGUUCCAAGAAUAGCUCGACUGUUGGACAACCCCAUGCAGGUCUCUAAUGCUUAUCAGACAUGAGUCCCUCUUCCAAUGGCCAGGCUCCCCAGUGCUAA
RNAcentral lists this long non-coding RNA (885 nucleotides) under Rattus norvegicus (Norway rat). RNAcentral's name for it is "long non-coding RNA NONRATT012360". Lineage: Eukaryota; Metazoa; Chordata; Mammalia; Rodentia; Muridae. The record is from RNAcentral.